This 1743-nucleotide ribosomal RNA is filed under the name Gammaproteobacteria bacterium. Its description in RNAcentral is "partial 23S ribosomal RNA". It matches the Rfam family "Bacterial large subunit ribosomal RNA", at positions 1 to 1783 of the family's 2925-position model. The record is from RNAcentral. Lineage: Bacteria; Pseudomonadati; Pseudomonadota; Gammaproteobacteria.
GAUCAAGUAAAGGAAGAGCACAAGGCGGAUGCCUUGGCAGCAUAAGGCGAUGAAGGACGUAAUAACCUGCGAUAAGCCUCGGGGAGCUGGUAAAUAAGCUUCGAUCCGAGGAUUUCCGAAUGGGAAAACCCAAUAUACAAAAGUAUAUUAUCUUAUACUGAAUACAUAGGUAUAAGAGGCAAACCUAGGGAACUGAAACAUCUAAGUACCUAGAGGAAAAGAAAUCAACAGAGAUUCCGGUAGUAGCGGCGAGCGAAACCGGAUCAGCCCUUAAGCUUAUUUUAGUCCAGCAAAAUAUUCUGGAAAGUUUAGCCAUAGUAGGUGAUAGCCCUGUAUGCGAAAGACUAAUUUAAGUGAAAUCGAGUAGGUCGGGACACGUGAAAUCUUGACUGAAUAUGGGGGGACCAUCCUCCAAGGCUAAAUACUCUAUGCUGACCGAUAGUGAACCAGUACCGUGAGGGAAAGGCGAAAAGAACCCCGGCGAGGGGAGUGAAAUAGAACCUGAAACCUUGUGCUUACAAGCAGUCGGAGCAGACUUGUUCUGUGACGGCGUACCUUUUGUAUAAUGGGUCAACGACUUAAUUUCAGUAGCAAGCUUAACCAUUUAGGGUAGGCGUAGGGAAACCGAGUCUUAAUAGGGCGCUCAGUUGCUGGAAUUAGACCCGAAACCGGGUGAUCUAUCCAUGGCCAGUGUGAAGGUCGAGUAACAUCGACUGGAGGCGCGAACCCACUUAUGUUGAAAAAUGAGGGGAUGAGCUGUGGAUAGGAGUGAAAGGCUAAUCAAACCCGGAGAUAGCUGGUUCUCUUCGAAAACUAUUUAGGUAGUGCCUCGUGUAUUACCGUAGGGGGUAGAGCACUGUUUCGGCUAGGGGGUCAUCCCGACUUACCAAACCGAUGCAAACUCCGAAUACCUACGAGUAUGAGCACGGGAGACAGACUGCGGGUGCUAACGUCCGUAGUCGAGAGGGAAACAACCCAGACUGUCAGCUAAGGUCCCAAAUUAUGAUUAAGUGGGAAACAAUGUGGGAAGGCACAAACAGCUAGGAGGUUGGCUUAGAAGCAGCCAUCCUUUAAAGAAAGCGUAAUAGCUCACUAGUCGAGUCGGCCUGCGUGGAAGAUAUAACGGGGCUAAAUCAUAAACCGAAGCUACAGAUCUUAAAUUUAUUUAAGAUGGUAGAAGAGCGUUCUGUAAGCGGUUGAAGGCAAGCUGAGAGGCAAGCUGGACGUAUCAGAAGUGCGAAUGUUGACAUGAGUAACGAUCAAAGAGGUGAAAAACCUCUUCGCCGAAAAACCAAGGGUUCCUGUCCAACGCUAAUCGAGGCAGGGUGAGGCGGCCCCUAAGGCGAGGGCGAAAGCCGUAGUCGAUGGGAAACAGGUUAAUAUUCCUGUACUUUUUAUAACUGCGAUGGGGUGACGGAGAAGGUUAAACUAGCACGGCGACGGUUGUCCGUGUUUAAGGUUGUAGGCUGGUGUUUUAGGUAAAUCCGGAACACCAAGGCUGAGAACUGAUGACGACCACUCUAUGAGUGGGAAGUAGUUAAUACCAUGCUUCCAGGAAAAACCUCUAAGCUUCAGGUUAUAAGAAACCGUACCCUAAACCGACACAGGUGGUUAGGUCGAGUAGACCAAGGUGUUUGAGAGAACUAUGGUGAAGGAACUAGGCAAAAUAGCACCGUAACUUCGGGAGAAGGUGCGCCGCGUUUGGUGAUGAGACUUGCUCUCUAAGCUGAACGUGGUCGAAGA